UUAUAGAUUACAAUGGACGGUGACGAAAUAGUGCCUUGUGAACAGAUGGCUGAUACUGUCUGGAAGAUGAAAAACAUAGAAAGCAAGCCAACUAGCAACCACACUGCAGCAUCAUUUUGGGAAUUUCACCAGUGCACCAAAAUACCAAACGAUUACGUCAUCAUGCCGACUAUUAAUGAUAACCCCAUCCUGAGCCAACCUAACGAGUACCUUGGUCCAGGAAACGAAGUAUACUUUGACACUACUUCAAAAACAUCUGACUUUUCCUUUUGGUGCCUCAAGCGUCAAGUCGCAGCGUCUAAGAACUUAGCACUGGAAUUGCUUUUUAGGCCAUAUGUGGAUCAAUAUGUUGCACGAGAUAUGACAAAGGGCACUCUGAGUGUGGGAGAAUGCAAGACCCCUAUUAGUACUAAAGACCUUAUUUUAAAAAAUUUGGUUUCCUGGAAUAUUUCUGACUUG
Dermacentor andersoni is the source of this 459-nucleotide long non-coding RNA. RefSeq lists it as uncharacterized. Lineage: Eukaryota; Metazoa; Arthropoda; Arachnida; Ixodida; Ixodidae. The record is from RefSeq and is a predicted model, not a curated record.